Nomascus leucogenys (northern white-cheeked gibbon) is the source of this 1508-nucleotide RNA transcript. It is a transcript of the gene named UPF0428 protein CXorf56 pseudogene, with no coding region annotated. The transcript has a single exon. The record is from RefSeq and is a predicted model, not a curated record. Lineage: Eukaryota; Metazoa; Chordata; Mammalia; Primates; Hylobatidae.
GCUCGUGACGUCAUUUCGGCGCGACCCUCUUCUUGGCGUAGAGUUUUUAGGUUGCUCCUGGAAACCAUGCCGAAAGUAGUGUCUCGGUCAGUAGUCUGCUCUGACACUCGGGACCGGGAGGAAUAUGACGACGGUGAGAAGCCCCUCCAUGUGUACUACUGUUUGUGCGGCCAGGUGGUCCUAGUGCUGGACUGUCAGUUAGAGAAAUUGCCCAUGAGGCCCCGGGACCGGUCCCGUGUAAUUGAUGCCGCCAAACAUGCCCAUAAGUUUUGUAACACAGAAGACGAAGAGACUAUGUAUCUGCGGAGAUCUGAAGGCAUUGAACUACAGUACAGAAAGAAAUGUGCAAAGUGUGGACUGCUGCUCUUCUACCAAUCCCAGCCGAAGAAUGCUCCCGUUACCUUCAUUGUGGAUGGAGCAGUAGUCAAGUUUGGCCAGGGCUUUGGGAAAACGAACAUAUAUACUCAGAAACAAGAGCCUCCUAAAAAGGUGAUGAUGACCAAACGGACCAAAGACAUGGGCAAGUUCAGUUCUGUCACUGUGUCUACCAUUGAUGAGGAGGAAGAGGAGAUUGAGGCUAGGGAAGUUGCUGACUCGUAUGCACAGAACGCCAAAGUGAUUGAAAAACAGCUGGAGCGCAAAGGCAUGAGCAAGAGGCGACUGCAAGAGCUGGCUGAAUGGGAAGCCAAGAAAGUGAAAAUGAAGGGGACCUUGAUUGACAACCAGUUUAAAUAACCAGGCUUUUUUCUGAGCCCUAGACUGGAGGCAAGCAUGUAGAUCAGGAGACAAAGUAAUUUCUUGACCACAUAGACUGGUUCCUAUUUAUGUCCUAGCAGAAGGCUUUAUGUUGUUUCCCACUGAUUCUCCUACAUGCAGUGAGGUCUUUAACUGAGUCCAUUUGACCUGCUUUCUAGGAGAUGGAUUUUUCUCUAAUUUUUUCUGUAUUUAGGUUUUCUUUACUAUUUUUUGUCCAUUUGAUGCAAACUUCUUCAGCUAUGUAGAAACUUUAUGAAUAGAUCAGUGCUUGAGAGUCUCCGGUCUCUAAAGUGGCUGGUUUUAUUCUUUCUUCAAAGUUAAUAACAUGUUUCAAGAUUUUUGGACAAAAUAUUAUGGUGUGUCAUAGAGAAAAGCAGCGUGAAUUAUAUUUAGGUAUAGCAAGUCAGAUCCUUUGAAGUGAGUCUGUCUCUGUUCUUAGAAGGGUUCUUGGAAUUGGCUGUGGUUUGAAUCUUUCUACUGUCAGAGGAGACCCAUUAAAAGCCAGAAUCUGCAUAAAGCUUUCUUUACUUAACACACUGAAGCUAUAGGUGAGCCAUCCCAUGUCAGACUUUAUAUUCAAAGAAGGAAAAGCCAAAUUGCAGUGAGGGGGUAGGACAGAUUCCAAUGAAAAUGGGGUCUGAAUAAGUAACCCAAGAGAGCUGCCCUCUAGUAGGGCAGCUAGUAUUGCUUCCUUGCAUGGAUACAUGGGAGGGAGACAUAUAGAUUAAUAAAUGAUAGUGAGAUAAACAAAA